This is a long non-coding RNA of Ostrea edulis (European flat oyster), 2121 nucleotides long. RefSeq lists it as uncharacterized. Lineage: Eukaryota; Metazoa; Mollusca; Bivalvia; Ostreida; Ostreidae. The transcript has 2 exons. The record is from RefSeq and is a predicted model, not a curated record.
UAGAAUAUUUACUGGAUCAUGCAUUGUACUGUAAACCAAAUUUUAUUCGCGACAACUUCAUUUUGCGAUUUACCACCGACGACUAAUUUCGCGACCGAGAUUAUCUUUAUUAUACAAGAAACAGUAAAGGGCUUGUUCGUGGCGAGAAAUAUUCGCGAUGUAGAGGUUCUCAUGAACCUCGUAAAAAAUUAUCACACGCGAAUAAAAGUUGGUUCAUAGUAUUUCUGUUUGUCUGGUUUUGCAAUCCAAAUAUGGAUUAAAACAUACAUGUUAUAUAUAAAUAUGUUUUGUUAAAAUAAUCAUUGUUAAGUUGUAUAUCUAAAAUAUUAUUAUUAAUUGUGUUGUGUUUUAAUAACGGUGAUGGUUUUCAACCGCUUGUCCGAGAAAUGACCCGUCUCCAAUGGGUGGAUUAAAUGAGUGCAACCCGAUAGCUGAAUAAGCAAGUCACAUAUAUGGGAUAGAUGAAAUGAGUAAGCAGGUCCGAUAACCAAUGCACAGAGAACAGUAGCUGAGUAAUCAAUCCCAGUCGAAUAACAGUGGUGACCGAUAGUCGGGUCAACUGAGUGCACCCCGAUAGCCAGGUCAAAUAACUCCGCAAUCGUAACUACUCGGCUAUUUCCGUAACCGCUAAUAACCGGUUACGCAAAGGGACGAGCAUAAUCCGAUUGAUAACUCUGGUCCCUAUAGCUGGGUCAAGUGAGUGCAGAACAACGCGACUCAGAUCAAAUGACCUUUGACCCAGCCAUAAAAGGGACGUUAUACUACUGACAACCGCUCAGAUGAUGUCAUCAAAUAGCACAUGGUAACAUUAUACAUUUAUUGACUGAGGUCGAGGGCGAUAUGUGAUUUAUUCAACCCGAGAACCAAAAUGUUUAGUUUUACAUAGGGAAAAGUGGAUUGCAUGAUUUUCAUUUUCGUUUAAAAUCGAGCGAUUGAUUGAUUGAUUGGGGUUUUACGCCGUUUUGGCAAUAUUUCAGCCAUUUUUCGGCGGUAAAAAUCAAGCGAACAGGCGAACAUCGUGCGAUAAUCAUAGGACGAAUCGCACAUGAGAGUCAUACAUGUACGAUUUUCAUCCAAACCUUUUUCCUUUUGCCUUGUUUACACGUGAUAACCAUGCAUUCGUAUAUACAUGUCACAAAACAAGAAGCAAGAAGAAUUCAUUAAUAUCACAGUUUGCAGUCAUAUUUUGGGUUUUCUUAUCAUCAAAACGACAAGAGGACAUUAAAGUUAUUAUGCAAGAAUAUAAAAAUUAUUUAUUGAUGCAUAUGUCUAUAAAAGAAUAUUUCUUGUGAUUUCAUGUAUGAUAAAGUAAAUUAUGGUAUUUUAAAAACUUGAAAUAGAAUUAGAAAUUUUCUCUUGCAGAAAAUUUUGCAUAUAAUCCAUGUGACUUACGUGAAUCACCUGACGCAAUUACGUGUGAAUCACUUUCCUUGUAUAUAAAUAAAAGGAAUAGAUGUCGUGUUUGUUUUUAUUAGGGUAUAAAAUCAAUGAAGGUAUAACUUACGUUCAUGAAUUUCGCCACUGCUCUUUAUGGAUGUUCAGCCUGGAAUAAUCAAACCAACAGAUUGUGAUCUUGCGCAAUAAUCAACCAAUAAAACGGCAGCUUGUGAAAUAACCAAAAAAUAAAAUGACAGCUUGUGAAAUAAUUAAAAAAAAUGUAAAUAACCAACCAAUAAAAUGACGACUUGUAUUUGUAUUUCAAUGAAGUGCUCAGUGUACAGGGAAGCAUUCAAUACAGAGAGAUACAGCGUCACAGACUCCACUAUCAGGUCAAUACACACCGUGUUACUUUGCUGUAUAUAAAAUACAAUGUCGGGACACGGAAGCCAUGACAGCAAUAAAACCAAAUCCGGCCAGUGUAACUUAAACAACCCGGAAAACCGGGGACAGAUCACCGGUCAUUCUGGAACCGAAAAUAAAAAGGACCUUCAUGAAACUAACAAACACCAUACACCACCAAGCAACGACAGUCACCAACCAAAGCAAAGUGGUGGCAAUUGAAACACAUGACUGGCUGAAAAAGACAUUUCUUUAAUUUGUAUGUCAAUGUUUUGAUCAACUCGAUAAAAAAAAUGCUAUAAUAAUUUUCUUGGCUCUCGAAUUAAAAGAAAUUUGUCUAAA